AUUAAAUAGCCGCAGUAUCUUGACUGUGCGAAGGUAGCAUAAUAAUUUGUCUUUUAAUUGAAGGCUGGUAUGAAUGGUUUGAUGAGGGAAUAGCUUUCUUUAUAUUAUAUAUUGAAUUUAAUUUUUAGGUUAAAAAGCUUAAAUAAUUAAAUGGGACGAGAAGACCCUAUAGAAUUUUAUUUUAAAGUUUUUAUUUAUUUUUUGGUUAUUAUAAAUCUUUAUUUAAAUUCUUUGAAAUUUUGUUGGGGUGAUGUUGAGAUUUAUGAAACUCUCAUAUUUUAUGGUUUAAAUAUAAUUAUUUUUAGGAUCCUUUUUUAUGGAUAUAUAGAUUAAAUUACCUUAGGGAUAACAGCGUAAUUUUUCUGGAGAGUUCUUAUCGAUGGAGAAGUUUGCGACCUCGAUGUUGGAUUAAAAUUAGAUUUAAGUGCAGAAGCUUAAUS
RNAcentral lists this ribosomal RNA (440 nucleotides) under Acrosternum hilare. RNAcentral describes it as "partial 16S ribosomal RNA". The record is from RNAcentral. Lineage: Eukaryota; Metazoa; Arthropoda; Insecta; Hemiptera; Pentatomidae.